GAUGAGGGGCCCCCGCAAUGGGGGCCUGCGAACCUGGUCAGGGACGAAAGUCAGCAGCCAUAAGCAGUACUCCUCAUGUGUGGUGGGCCUCUCAUCGGG
This 99-nucleotide signal recognition particle RNA is filed under the name Planctomycetes bacterium RBG_16_64_12. RNAcentral's name for it is "signal recognition particle sRNA small type". It matches the Rfam family "Bacterial small signal recognition particle RNA". Rfam says of the family: The signal recognition particle (SRP) is a universally conserved ribonucleoprotein involved in the co-translational targeting of proteins to membranes. Archaeal SRP consists of a 7S RNA and homologues of the eukaryotic SRP19 and SRP54 proteins. The record is from RNAcentral. Lineage: Bacteria; Pseudomonadati; Planctomycetota.